Molecule: long non-coding RNA, 235 nt
Filed under: Trifolium pratense (red clover)
Lineage: Eukaryota; Viridiplantae; Streptophyta; Magnoliopsida; Fabales; Fabaceae
Description: long non-coding RNA (TPRA_LNC005904)
Source: RNAcentral
GAACACUUAGGAAUUAAAAUAUUUUAAAGCAUACAAGAGAAACUAAUUCGAAUCGCCUCGAAGUAGCAGUUUCUCAAGCAAGUAUCUGGAUUCAGACUUAGAAGAAAUUACUGGAAAACAAAUUGCAUUGCAUUGAAUGAAAAACAAUUACAAAUAAAGAUGGUUCACAAAACAUACAUUUCUCCUUCGAAUUCCGUUCGUUCGAUCGCUGAGUACUUAGAAUUUUUAGAGAGAA